UUGGAGGGCAAGUCUGGUGCCAGCAGCCGCGGUAAUUCCAGCUCCAAUAGCGUAUAUUAAAGUUGUUGCAGUUAAAAAGCUCGUAGUUGAAUUUCGAAAUUUUUUUAUCGGUUGAAUCAACAGGUUCGUACUGAUUUUAAGAAUUUCUACCUUCUGGAGAACCUUAAUGUCAUUUAUUUGAUGUUUUGGGAAACCAGGACUGUUACCUUGAAAAAAUUAGAGUGUUUAAAGCAGGCUUAUGUCUGAAUAUAUUAGCAUGGAAUAAUGAAAUAGGACGGCAUGGUUCUAUUUUGUUGGUUUCUAGGAUCACCGUAAUGAUUAAUAGGGAUAGUUGGGGGCAUUAGUAUUCAAUUGUCAGAGGUGAAAUUCUUGGAUUUAUUGAAGACUAACUUCUGCGAAAGCAUUUGCCAAGGAUGUUUUCAUUAAUCAAGAACGAAAGUUAGGGGAUCGAAGACGAUCAGAUACCGUCGUAGUCUUAACCAUAAACUAUGCCGACUAGGAAUCGGACGAAGUUAAUUUUUUAAUGACUCGUUCGGCGCCUUACGGGAAAC
Molecule: ribosomal RNA, 551 nt
Filed under: Pacispora scintillans
Lineage: Eukaryota; Fungi; Glomeromycota; Glomeromycetes; Diversisporales; Pacisporaceae
Description: SSU rRNA
Rfam family: Eukaryotic small subunit ribosomal RNA
Source: RNAcentral